GUCUGUGGCUAUACCACCCUGAACAUGGCCAAUCUUAUCUGAUCUCAGAAGCUAAGCAGGGUCAGGCCUGGUUAGUACUUGGAUGGGAGAGAUUUGAACUAUUUCCACUGUUU
Molecule: ribosomal RNA, 113 nt
Filed under: Microcebus murinus (gray mouse lemur)
Lineage: Eukaryota; Metazoa; Chordata; Mammalia; Primates; Cheirogaleidae
Source: RNAcentral